UGUUUGUUCCGUCGAGAGCAGAGAUGGGAGAUAAGGAGCCAAACCCUAGAUCUAUUCUCAACUGAUAUCUCCACCAUCUUUCUCAACAAAUCCACGAAUUUUCACCUCCAUCAUCACUCUCAUCUCUUUCAAAUCAACUAAAAGCUUCUUUUAGAAUCAUCAUCAUCUUCAGGUGUGCUGGAGGGAGAAAUAUUUCUUCAGAACUUACCUAGCAUUGUCAAUGCACAUGCCCUAGAUUCCCAACCAGGUGAUCGUGUAAUGGAUAUGUGUGCUGCUCCAGGAGGGAAAUCAACUGCACUAGCCAUUCUUAUGAGGGAUGAAGGAGAAAUUGUUGUUGCUGAUAGAUCUCACAACAAGAUAUACAUACCCCUACUAGAAUAAUAUGAGAAUGAUACAUUUGAUAUGAAUGAGACACAGGUGGAAGUGGAAGUGGAAGUGGAAGUGGAAGUGGAAGUGGAAAUGGAAGCGGAAGCGGAAACGGAAGAAAAUGCACCUUGUCUGUUUGGACUACAAGAGCAGAUAUAUAUGAACAACUUACGUGAUGACAUAGCUAGUCUCCUUUAGAUUUUGUUGCUUCUUUUAUGUUUAUAGGAAUGAAAUCUUUAGAUUUUAUUGUUUUGUAAUGUUUAACUCCAUCAAAAAGGGGAGUUGUUUAGACUGAAAUGGAACAAUCUAUGACUCAGAUCCAGACGAUUCAAAUGAGUCAGCUGCAAACAAACAAGGUGUUAGUCUGGGUUGGAUUAUAUGGCACAUGACUUAGGCAGGUUCAUGUGCGACUAAAUUUGAUUUAGUCGAAGUAGUUUGUUUUUUUUUUCCUUUUUUCAGUACAAGAGUCCAAGAAGUUAUGUGUCCAGCAUUAUGCAUUUGAACACUGCAGACGUCAAUUAUUAAGUUUUGUAAUAGUAUAGCUUAGUCACACGUGGUGGAUUAGCUUUGAUGGAAA
Papaver somniferum (opium poppy) is the source of this 943-nucleotide long non-coding RNA. RefSeq lists it as uncharacterized. Lineage: Eukaryota; Viridiplantae; Streptophyta; Magnoliopsida; Ranunculales; Papaveraceae. The transcript is spliced from 3 exons. The record is from RefSeq and is a predicted model, not a curated record.